This 1398-nucleotide ribosomal RNA is filed under the name Graphium sp. UCR2289. RNAcentral describes it as "bacterial SSU rRNA". It matches the Rfam family "Eukaryotic small subunit ribosomal RNA", at positions 75 to 1596 of the family's 1831-position model. Lineage: Eukaryota; Fungi; Ascomycota; Sordariomycetes; Microascales; Graphiaceae. The record is from RNAcentral.
UAUACCGCGAAACUGCGAAUGGCUCAUUAUAUAAGUUAUAGUUUAUUUGAUAGCACCUUACUACAUGGAUAACUGUGGUAAUUCUAGAGCUAAAACAUGCUAAAAAUCCCGACUUCGGAAGGGAUGUGUUUAUUAGAUUAAAAACCAAUGCCCUUCGGGGCUGCUUGGUGAUUCAUAAUAACCUCUCGAAUCGCACGGCCUUGCGCCGGCGAUGGUUCAUUCAAAUUUCUUCCCUAUCAACUUUCGAUGCGAAGGUAUUGUCUUCGCAUGGUUACAACGGGUAACGGAGGGUUAGGGCUCGACCCCGGAGAAGGAGCCUGAGAAACGGCUACUACAUCCAAGGAAGGCAGCAGGCGCGCAAAUUACCCAAUCCCGACACGGGGAGGUAGUGACAAUAAAUACUGAUACAGGGCUCUUUUGGGUCUUGUAAUUGGAAUGAGUACAAUUUAAAUCCCUUAACGAGGAACAAUUGGAGGGCAAGUCUGGUGCCAGCAGCCGCGGUAAUUCCAGCUCCAAUAGCGUAUAUUAAAGUUGUUGUGGUUAAAAAGCUCGUAGUUGAACCUUGGGCCUGGCUGGCCGGUCCCCCUCACCGGGUGCACUGGUCCGGCCGGGCCUUUCCCUCUGUGGAACCGCAUGCCCUUCACUGGGUGUGCCGGGGAAACAGGACUUUUACUUUGAAAAAAUUAGAGUGCUCCAGGCAGGCCUAUGCUCGAAUACAUUAGCAUGGAAUAAUAGAAUAGGACGUGUGGUUCUAUUUUGUUGGUUUCUAGGACCGCCGUAAUGAUUAAUAGGGACAGUCGGGGGCAUCAGUAUUCAAUUGUCAGAGGUGAAAUUCUUGGAUCUAUUGAAGACUAACUACUGCGAAAGCAUUUGCCAAGGAUGUUUUCAUUGAUAAGGAACGAAAGUUAGGGGAUCGAAGACGAUCAGAUACCGUCGUAGUCUUAACUAUAAACUAUGCCGACUAGGGAUCGGACGGUGUUUAUACUUGACCCGUUCGGCACCUUUCGAGAAAUCAAAGUGCUUGGGCUCCAGGGGGAGUAUGGUCGCAAGGCUGAAACUUAAAGAAAUUGACGGAAGGGCACCACCAGGGGUAAACUGAAGCCGUAUCGCUCUGCCCCGAAAAGCGAGCCCGUAACGGGUUCGGUGGUUGCCGGCACUCGCUAGUCGCCGCGUCCAGCGCGGCGGCGACACCCUCAACGUGCGGGGAACCCUCGAAGGGCACCACUCCUAAGUAGCGGUCGAAAGACGCGCUAUGGCGGCGGCGUAAUGGCCGCCGGUACAGGGAAAACGUGGUGCUUAGGAGGCGAUUCGCAGCCAAGCUCCUACCCGCCCCCCCCGGGGGCGCAGGGAGAAAGGUCCAGAGACUUGACGGGGGUGGGUCGGCGGCGCGCAGCCUGC